This 511-nucleotide ribosomal RNA is filed under the name Tylenchida environmental sample. RNAcentral describes it as "SSU rRNA". It matches the Rfam family "Eukaryotic small subunit ribosomal RNA", at positions 58 to 570 of the family's 1831-position model. Lineage: Eukaryota; Metazoa; Nematoda; Chromadorea; Rhabditida. The record is from RNAcentral.
UAUAAGUAUAAACGACUCGAUCGUGAAACCGCGAACGGCUCAUUAUAACAGCUGUAAUUUACUUGAUCUUGACAAUCCUACUUGGAUAACUGAGGUAAUUCUUGAGCUAAUACAUGCACCAAAGCUCUGACCUUACGGGAAGAGUGCAUUUAUUAGAACAAAACCAAGCGGCUUCGGUCGUUUUUUGUUGACUCAGAAUAACUUAGCUGAUCGCAUGGUCUUGUACCGGCGACGUGUCUUUCAAGCAUCUGCCUUAUCAACUUUCGAUGGUAGUGUAUCUGACUACCAUGGUGGUGACGGGUAACGGAGGAUAAGGGUUCGACUCCGGAGAAGGGGCCUGAGAAAUGGCCACUACGUCUAAGGAUGGCAGCAGGCGCGCAAAUUACCCACUCUCAGAAUGAGGAGGUAGUGACGAAAAAUAACGAGACUGUUCUCUAUGAGGCCAGUCAUCGGAAUGGGUACAAUCUAAACCCUUUAACGAGUAUCUAUGAGAGGGCAAGUCUGGUGCCAG